GCCCAAUACAAUUUAUCUCCCUCGCCCUCCCCCUGUGUCGUCGAUCGUUGCUCGGCCGGUGUCGCUUCUCCUCCGCACCUGAUUCUGCGACGAGCACGCCGUAAGUUAAAGGAUUUGAUUCUCGAGAUGGCGUCAAAGUUAGUACAACUUCAAUCAAAGGCAUGUCAGGCUUCGAAAUUUGUGGCCAAGCAUGGGACUUCCUACUACAAGCAGCUGUUGGAGCAAAACAAGCAAUAUAUUCAGGAGCCGGCCACCUUGGAGAAAUGCAAUGAGUUGUCUAAGCAAUUGUUUUACACCCGUCUGGCUAGCAUCCCCGGGCGAUGUGAAUCGUUCUGGAAGGAAGUGGACCAAGUCAAGGGUUUAUGGAAGAACAGAGCGGACCUGAAGGUGGAAGAUGCCGGGAUUGCUGCUUUGUUCGGACUCGAAUGCUUCGCUUGGUUUUGCGCAGGUGAAAUCGUCGGCAGGGGAUUCACCUUCACCGGAUACUACCCUUGAAGGGGAUUCACCCUUUCUAUUGUAAGCUCCUCUCUUUCAAAUUUCCUUCCUGUGAUUGAUCACAGCCAUUUUCGUAUUCCUUCUUUCCCUAAAAGCAGGGUUUUUGACUCUUCUUGGUAUAAGAUUUUGUCCUCAAUAAGAAAAAAUUUUCCAAGCGAAGUUUGUAUUUAUGUGGAGGAGCUUUGAUUAGAUAGAGACUAAUGUCGGGAAAUAAAAUGGUCGCUAACGUCCGUC
RNA transcript from Tarenaya hassleriana, 729 nucleotides. RefSeq lists it as uncharacterized. The record is from RefSeq and is a predicted model, not a curated record. The transcript is spliced from 4 exons. NCBI's taxonomy places the organism in Eukaryota, Viridiplantae, Streptophyta, Magnoliopsida, Brassicales, Cleomaceae.